This 1387-nucleotide ribosomal RNA is filed under the name uncultured bacterium. Its description in RNAcentral is "16S ribosomal RNA". It matches the Rfam family "Bacterial small subunit ribosomal RNA". The record is from RNAcentral.
AGAGUUUGAUCCUGGCUCAGGAUGAACGCUGGCGGCGUGCCUAAUACAUGCAAGUCGAACGCGGGCACUUGUGCCCGAGUGGCGAACGGGUGAGUAAUACAUAAGUAACCUGGCCUUUACAGGGGGAUAACUGCUGGAAACGGCAGCUAAGACCGCAUAGGUAGGGACACUGCAUGGUGACCGUAUUAAAAGUGCUGCAAGGCACUGGUAGAGGAUGGACUUAUGGCGCAUUAGCUGGUUGGUGAGGUAACGGCUCACCAAGGCGACGAUGCGUAGCCGACCUGAGAGGGUGACCGGCCACACUGGGACUGAGACACGGCCCAGACUCCUACGGGAGGCAGCAGUAGGGAAUUUUCGGCAAUGGGGGGAACCCUGACCGAGCAACGCCGCGUGAAGGAAGAAGGAAUUCGUUCUGUAAACUUCUGUUAUAAAGGAAGAAAGACGGAUGGAGGAAAUGACAUCCGAGUGACGGUACUUUAUGAGAAAGCCACGGCUAACUACGUGCCAGCAGCCGCGGUAAUACGUAGGUGGCAAGCGUUAUCCGGAAUUAUUGGGCGUAAAGAGGGAGCAGGCGGCAGCAAAGGUCUGUGGUGAAAGACUGAAGCUUAACUUCAGUAAGCCAUAGAAACCGGGCAGCUAGAGUGCAGGAGAGGAUCGUGGAAUUCCAUGUGUAGCGGUGAAAUGCGUAGAUAUAUGGAGGAACACCAGUGGCGAAGGCGACGAUCUGGCCUGCAACUGACGCUCAGUCCCGAAAGCGUGGGGAGCAAAUAGGAUUAGAUACCCUAGUAGUCCACGCCGUAAACGAUGAAAGUAAGUGUUGGAAGUCAAAUUUCAUUGCAGCAGUUACGCCAGGUAAGUCUUCCGCCUGAGUGGUACGUUUGCCAGAAAGAAAUUCAAAGGAAUUGACGGGGGCCCGCCCAAGCGGUGGGGCAUGUGGUUUAAUUUGAAGCCACGCGAAGGACCCUUACCAGGUCUUGACAUACUCAUAAAGGAUCCAGAGAUGGAUAGAUAGUUAUAUGAGAUACAGGUGGUGCAUGGUUGUCGUCAGCUCGUGUCGUGAGAUGUUGGGUUAAGUCCCGCAACGAGCGCAACCCUUGUCGUUAGUUACCAUCAUUAAGUUGGGGACUCUAGCGAGACUGCCAGUGACAAGCUGGAGGAAGGCGGGGAUGACGUCAAAUCAUCAUGCCCCUUAUGACCUGGGCUACACACGUGCUACAAUGGAUGGUGCAGAGGGAAGCGAAGCCGCGAGGCGAAGCAAAACCCAUAAAACCAUUCUCAGUUCGGAUUGUAGUCUGCAACCCGACUACAUGAAGCCGGAAUCGCUAGUAAUCGCGGAUCAGAACGCCGCGGUGAAUACGUUCCCGGGUCUUGCACACACCGCCCGUCA